GGACCCGCACAAGUAGUGGAGCAUGUGGUUUAAUUCGAUGCAACGCGAAGAACCUUACCAAGGCUUGACAUAUAGAGGAAAAGUGCAGAAAUGCACUCCCCGCAAGGUCUCUAUACAGGUGGUGCAUGGUUGUCGUCAGCUCGUGUCGUGAGAUGUUGGGUUAAGUCCCGCAACGAGCGCAACCCUCGUCCUAUGUUGCCAGCACGUAAUGGUGGGAACUCAUGGGAUACUGCCGGGGUCAACUCGGAGGAAGGUGGGGAUGACGUCAAAUCAUCAUGCCCCUUAUGUCUUGGGCUUCACGCAUGCUACAAUGGCCGGUACAGAGGGCUGCAAUACCGCAAGGUGGAGCGAAAUCCCAAAAAGCUAUCUCAGUUCGGAUUGGGGUCUGCAACUCGACCCCAUG
This 403-nucleotide ribosomal RNA is filed under the name uncultured bacterium. Its description in RNAcentral is "bacterial SSU rRNA". It matches the Rfam family "Bacterial small subunit ribosomal RNA", at positions 917 to 1322 of the family's 1533-position model. The record is from RNAcentral.